Molecule: small RNA, 29 nt
Filed under: Bombyx mori (domestic silkworm)
Lineage: Eukaryota; Metazoa; Arthropoda; Insecta; Lepidoptera; Bombycidae
Description: ovarian small RNA-20082
Source: RNAcentral
UACAAGAAAUAUUGUUGUCGCGCUGUGUU